Long non-coding RNA from Hibiscus syriacus, 570 nucleotides. RefSeq lists it as uncharacterized. NCBI's taxonomy places the organism in Eukaryota, Viridiplantae, Streptophyta, Magnoliopsida, Malvales, Malvaceae. The record is from RefSeq and is a predicted model, not a curated record. The transcript is spliced from 2 exons.
CUUUUAUCGUGUCAUCUUUCGUUGAAUAUUUUGUGGAUCGGAGCAAAGUUAUUUUGUUGCUGGUUGAGGCAAUAGAUGUAUAUCUGCUAGGAACAGUAAUGCUGGUUUUUGGAAUGGGUCUCUAUGAGCUCUUUGUUUCCAAUCUUGAUAUUGCAAAAGCACAAUCGAAGGAAAAGGGCACAUCGACAUCAAAUCUCUUUGGCAUGUUUGCUUUAAAUGUCAGUCAAAUUUUCUGGCUAUGUUGUUCUCUUUUUGGGGUCUUCUCUAGUUGCAGUCUUGAGGAUAUUUUUUCUUGCAUGUAUGAGCUUGUGAAUAUAAUUUGAUUUCUGAUAUGGCUGAGUUGACGACCAAGAUGGUUGGAAAUAAAAUCAGUGAGUGAACUGAAAACCAAACUGGGUCAUGUAAUAGUGAUGCUUCUUCUGAUAGGAUUUUUGAACAAUUGCAAGAAGACUGCCAUAAACUCUACACAGGAUUUGCUUUGUUUCUCGGCUUCUGUCCUACUCUCCUCUGGUUGCCUGUUUUUGCUAUCUAAGCUCAAUGGCUCUACAUGAGAUUUCUCUUCUGUAUAUA